CAUGCAAGUCGAGCGAAGCUUUUCAGUAGUUUACUACAGAAAAUGACUGAGCGGCGAACGGGUGAGUAACGCGUGAGCAAUCUACCUUAGUUACAGGGAUAGCCCGAGGAAACUCGGAUUAAUACCUGAUAUUCUUUACAUUUCGCAUGAAAUUAAAAGGAAAGGUCAGCCGAACUAAGAUGAGCUCGCGUUCUAUCAGCUAGUUGGUGAGGUAAAAGCUCACCAAGGCAACGACGGAUAGCUGGUCUGAGAGGACGAUCAGCCACACUGGGACUGAGACACGGCCCAGACUCCUACGGGAGGCUGCAGCAGGGAAUAUUGUGCAAUGAACGAAAGUUUGACACAGCGACACCGCGUGUGGGAUGACGGAUCUAGGUUUGUAAACCACUUUCAGGAGGGAAGAAAAUGACGGUACCUCCACAAGAAGCCCCGGCCAACUACGUGCCAGCAGCCGCGGUAAUACGUAGGGGGCGAGCGUUGUCCGGAUUUAUUGGGCGUAAAGAGCUCGUAGGCGGUUCAACAAGUCGGUCGUGAAAGUUCAGGGCUCAACCCUGAAAUGUCGAUCGAUACUGUUGUGACUAGGAUACGGUAGAGGUGAGU
RNAcentral lists this ribosomal RNA (600 nucleotides) under uncultured Actinomycetes bacterium. RNAcentral's name for it is "bacterial SSU rRNA". It matches the Rfam family "Bacterial small subunit ribosomal RNA", at positions 54 to 662 of the family's 1533-position model. The record is from RNAcentral. Lineage: Bacteria; Bacillati; Actinomycetota; Actinomycetes.